CCUANGGGGGGCAGCAAUUAGGAAUCUUGCGCAAUGGGCGAAAGCCUGACGCAGCGACGCCGCGUGACUGAUGAAGUCUUUCGGGAUGUAAAGGUCUUUUGCAGGGGACGAAGGAAGUGACGGUACCUUGCGAAUAAGCUCCGGCUAACUACGUGCCAGCAGCCGCGGUAAUACGUAGGGAGCGAGCGUUGUCCGAAUUUACUGGGCGUAAAGCGCGCGUAGGCGGGCUUUUAAGUUGUGGGUGAAAUGCCGAGGCUUAACCUCGGAACUGCCUGCAAAACUGGGAGCCUUGAGGUUUGGAGAGGGAAGUGGAAUUCCAGGUGUAGCGGUGAAAUGCGUAGAUAUCUGGAGGAACACCCGUGGCGAAGGCGGCUUCCUGGCCAUAUCCUGACGCUGAGGUGCGAAAGCUAGGGGAGCGAACGGGAUUAGAUACCCCANUANUC
This 443-nucleotide ribosomal RNA is filed under the name uncultured bacterium. RNAcentral's name for it is "bacterial SSU rRNA". It matches the Rfam family "Bacterial small subunit ribosomal RNA", at positions 338 to 795 of the family's 1533-position model. The record is from RNAcentral.